Daphnia magna is the source of this 3148-nucleotide long non-coding RNA. RefSeq lists it as uncharacterized. The transcript is spliced from 6 exons. The record is from RefSeq and is a predicted model, not a curated record. NCBI's taxonomy places the organism in Eukaryota, Metazoa, Arthropoda, Branchiopoda, Diplostraca, Daphniidae.
CCUAUCAGGAGUUGUCGUCAUGUUUUGCCUGACAGUGUUCAGGUCCCUGAACGAGAUGGAGUUGCAUUUUUUUUUUCUAACAGGGCAAGAUUGCCGGUUUGCAAAACUGGCCAUGUUGGAAUGUUGCCUUAAUAAAUUUCAAUUUAUUACAAUAAAAUCAAAUUAAUGCGUGUGGCAGGAUACCUCUUUGUUUAUUUUGUUUCUACCUUGUUGGUGAGCUGUAGUUGGGAUUUGGCCAUUUGGGAAUAGUUUUGAAAUGUCCUUUUUCGAAAAUCCUUUAAAAUUUUGAAAUCACAUUUCAAAACUAUCCCAACUACAACCAUCCCAACUGCUAAAAAAUUAAACAAAGCAAGAUCCUGCAACACGUGGUAAAUUAGAUUUUGUUGUAAUAAUAAAUUUGUAAUUUUUUAAGGCAACACCUCUAGUUUUGCAAACCGGCAAUCUUGCGCUAUAUCCCCACCCCCCCAAAAAAAAUGGGGGAGGGUGUCAAAAUUGUCUAUCAACCUUGUUCGUGUUUUCUUCUAGAGGAAUAUGAAACAUCGUGGUUCAUUCAGAUGCCGCGCGUAGGUAUGUAUGGUUAUUCGAUUUGUUAAGCUCCAAGAAAUUGAGCUCCAGGUAAAGAUGAUAUUAAUGCGUUUGAUUGAUGUUAUUCUUUUGUUAAUUCUUCAGUAAACUGUCAGGAGUCAUCGUAUUUAAUAGAUACACGUUCAAGUUCUGAUUAUUCAAUACUAUAGCCCUGUUAAAUAAAGUUGUCAUUGGUGUGAGCUUACUAAAGAUAGAAAUUGUUGAAAGCUAAGUUGAACGUUCUUUUCCAGGUUGUUUUAUGUUGCAUUUCCAAUUUUUUUGCACCUAGUCAUUUGGUAGUGUAUCUGCCAUGUUGAUGGUUGUUAGACCAAGUCUGCCUACUAGUUUCUUUUGCAGUCUGGGAAUGUGUCAUCCGUCCUUGUAUUCUGCAGGUUGGAUUAAAUGGCUAUGUAAUUGUUACUGUUGCACUUUUCUGUGGACUUGGGUAUGCUGGAUUCUGCUAUUGGCGCACAAGCAGUCAACUUUUUCUGAAAAUCGUAUGGUAUGGUAUGUGUUGUUAGUAUCUUCCUUUACCCUGUUAAAGUGAGGGCUGGUCAACUACAAUUAUUGGUCUUCCAGUUCUGGUAUUAAUCAGCAGAUCAUUGUUUAAAUAGGCAUUACUUUAAUAAUAGCAUUUAAUUUAAUUAAAUUUACAUUUGCAUCAGCUUGCAAAUGUAAUGCUGGCUAAGGUUUUGUUUGCAUAAAGAAGACCAUAAUCUUUGCUAGUUUUACUUUUUGGUACAGUUUUUUACUUAAAAAGUAAAGAUUUUUCAUUUAAAAGUUAGCGAAGUUAAAGUAAAAACUUAAAAUGAAAAAAAUAUAAAAGAAUGGGGGGGGGGCGAUUUCAGGUCGAUAGACCGCAGUUUGAUUCGAUACUAAGCCAGGUACAAAAAAUAAUGCUGUGAUUGUUUUGAGAUACAUUGCUGUAUCUCCGCCUAGUCAGUUGGUAUUAAAUUGUUUCUGGCACGAUGGGCAUUAGAAGAUAUCUGGGGACAUGGAAUAUAUUACAAUUCAUCCCUAUCUUCCGCAGGUAUAAGCAAAUCUGAUGUCCCUUUUUUCUUAUGUGAUACAUGAUUUAGGUUAAUUUUAUUGAAGUGUACUUGAAAUUUUCAUAUUUUAAGCUAUUUUUAUAAUCAAAGAUCUUUAAGCUGGAUCAAAGGAUUCCUUUUGUUCCUGUUGGCAUCAAUCAAUUGGUUUUUCUGUAUGCUGAUGCUGGUUCUUGGUAUGCAGAAAUGUUUGUAAGAAUAUUGUUGGUUUAGUUGUAGAAUUGCGUAGUAUUUUGUGUGUGAUCGGCCGCUCCUUUGUAUUGUUGAGAGGGUUGGGCAAGUAGUUGGUUUUUCCAAUUAUGGUAUUUUCAUCUUCAGGUUAUUUGAUAAGGCUAUUUCUAUCAGCUAUCAUUAAAAAAGUGUGGUGGCUGUUGUUCAGAUAGGCUUGCUGAAAUGGAAUGGCUGUGUUCGCCACAGUUACUUGUGUUGUCUAUAUAAUACGGCGCUGAAGUUUUUCUGUUGGUUGUUUGAUCAGCUUAUUUCAUCACCUAUCAUUUAGAAACGUUGAUGCUAGGCGAGGUCUUGUUUGCACAGGUGUGAUGGAAUGGAUUGCACAUGAUGGGCCAGUGGUUAACAUAUUAAUAUUUCUUUUUCGUGUCAUGGUGGAACGUUUUGAAGCUGUUGCUGAAGACUGUGUUGACCAUUUUGUCUGCUAUGGUGUCGUGGUUUUCCGGGUGUGUUGGGACCAUGGUUCUGUGGGUUUUAACUGAGUUUAGGUACAAUGCGGUGUACGUGCGAAUCUUUUGCAUAUUUAUGUUUCAAAUUUAUUUCAACCUUGAUUCUAUAACGUUUAAGUUACGAUUUUGAUCAGGUCAUUAGAACUAAUACUGGGAUUUCUUUCUCUAUUUUAGUUGGUCCUGUAACAGCAAAUGAUGGUCCUAAAGGUAUUUUCCGGUGGGAAUACAGUAUUUAAGCCAUAACGUUGUGAAGAAAAAUGGGGAAUCGUGUAACGAAGACAAGUAAAACGUGUGGCAUACUUGUCCGGUGGCUGCAUGGAAUUUAGACUUAAACAUUUUAUAGUCGUGACAUUUUCUUUAGAUAGCAAGUUAUAGAAAUAAAGGCUGGCAUCUCUUGACUACAGCUGCGGUGGUGAAAAAGAUAUUGGUCGUGAAACAAAAGUAUGCAGAUGGCUGAUCGUUGGGAGAAAAAUUGUCAGUUCGUCGGAGGUCAGCGUCGAAUGUUUUCCAAUAAUAUAUUCCAUUAAAUGUCUCAGCUGUUUAAAAAAAACAUUAUUUGGGGUUCGUUUUCUGUGACGCUGUUUCCUUUUACUUGUGAUAAAUCAGUACUGGGUAGUCAUUACUGUUGCCAGCAUUGUAACUCUCAUUCUCAAAGUUCAAGGAUUUUGUCAGUAUGCAUAUUGAUCUACAAAUGACAUCUAACUGCUGAUCGCCCUGAAUUUACUCAUGCCUUGCGGCAUUUGUUAGUCGCAACUCGGGUGAAAUCUCAAGUCGUGUUUAGCUAGAUAUAUUCGCAUUAGUAAUUGGGAGGAUAUCUUAUUGAAUUAUGUAUUAGCAACUGAAUAAAUUUUAUAUAUCUCA